CUGCUGCCUUCCGUAGGAGUUUGGACCGUGUCUCAGUUCCAAUGUGGGGGACCUUCCUCUCAGAACCCCUAUCCAUCGUUGUCUUGGUGGGCCGUUACCCCGCCAACUAACUAAUGGAACGCAUCCCCAUCCCAUACCGAAAUUCUUUAAUAAUCCCAUCAUGCGGUAGGACUAUAACAUCGGGUAUUAAUCUUUCUUUCGAAAGGCUAUCCCCGAGUAUGAGGCAGGUUGGAUACGUGUUACUCACCCGUGCGCCGGUCGCCAUCAACA
RNAcentral lists this ribosomal RNA (270 nucleotides) under uncultured bacterium. RNAcentral's name for it is "partial 16S ribosomal RNA". The record is from RNAcentral.